Non-coding RNA from Pelobates cultripes (western spadefoot toad), 80 nucleotides. The record is from the annotation of a GenBank genome assembly. Lineage: Eukaryota; Metazoa; Chordata; Amphibia; Anura; Pelobatidae.
AAUGUCUCCAUGUCUCCCAGUGUCCUCAAGUUUCUCAGUGUCCCCUAGUGACAUGGGGACACUGGGAGACAUGGGGACAC